GUUUUAAUAGUUUAAACAAAACACCAGUCUUGUAAAUUGGAAUUGAAGGAUUGACCUUCUUAAAACA
This 67-nucleotide transfer RNA is filed under the name Trachypenaeus curvirostris. Its description in RNAcentral is "tRNA-Thr". It matches the Rfam family "tRNA". Rfam says of the family: Transfer RNA (tRNA) molecules are approximately 80 nucleotides in length. The record is from RNAcentral. Lineage: Eukaryota; Metazoa; Arthropoda; Malacostraca; Decapoda; Penaeidae.